This 517-nucleotide ribosomal RNA is filed under the name uncultured bacterium. RNAcentral's name for it is "partial 16S ribosomal RNA". It matches the Rfam family "Bacterial small subunit ribosomal RNA", at positions 355 to 887 of the family's 1533-position model. The record is from RNAcentral.
UGGGGAAUAUUGCACAAUGGGCGAAAGCCUGAUGCAGCAACGCCGCGUGAGUGAUGAAGGUCUUCGGAUUGUAAAGCUCUGUCUUUUGGGACGAUAAUGACGGUACCAAAGGAGGAAGCCACGGCUAACUACGUGCCAGCAGCCGCGGUAAUACGUAGGUGGCGAGCGUUGUCCGGAUUUACUGGGCGUAAAGGGUGCGUAGGCGGAUGUUUAAGUGAGAUGUGAAAUACCCGGGCUUAACUUGGGUGCUGCAUUUCAAACUGGAUAUCUAGAGUGCAGGAGAGGAGAAUGGAAUUCCUAGUGUAGCGGUGAAAUGCGUAGAGAUUAGGAAGAACACCAGUGGCGAAGGCGAUUCUCUGGACUGUAACUGACGCUGAGGCACGAAAGCGUGGGUAGCAAACAGGAUUAGAUACCCUGGUAGUCCACGCCGUAAACGAUGAGUACUAGGUGUAGGAGGUAUCGACCCCUUCUGUGCCGCAGUAAAACACAUUAAGUACUCCGCCUGGGAAGUACGAUC